Molecule: unclassified non-coding RNA, 235 nt
Filed under: uncultured Cortinarius
Lineage: Eukaryota; Fungi; Basidiomycota; Agaricomycetes; Agaricales; Cortinariaceae
Description: sequence contains ITS1
Source: RNAcentral
UUGAAAUAAACCUGAUGAGUUGCUGCUGGUUCUCUAGGGAGCAUGUGCACACUUGUCAUCUUUAUAUCUCCACCUGUGCACCUUUUGUAGACCUGGAUAUCUCUCUGAAUGCUAGUCACUCAGGUUUGAGGAUUGACUUUAUGUCUCUCCUUGCAUUUCCAGGCCUAUGUUUCUUUAUAUACCCAAUGUAUGUCAUAGAAUGUAAUCAAUGGGCCUUUGUGCCUAUAAACCUAUA